Molecule: unclassified non-coding RNA, 289 nt
Filed under: uncultured fungus
Lineage: Eukaryota; Fungi
Description: partial contains 5.8S rRNA, ITS2 and 28S rRNA
Rfam family: Eukaryotic large subunit ribosomal RNA
Source: RNAcentral
AAGGAGUCUAACAUGCUCGCGAGUGUUCGGGUGGAAAACCCCUGCGCGUAAUGAAAGUGAAAGGUUGGGACCUCUCUCGAGGGCACCGACGCCCGACCCUGAAGUUUACGGACGGGUUUGAGGCAGAGCGAGUAUGCUGGGACCCGAAAGAUGGUGAACUAUGCCUGAAUAGGGUGAAGCCAGAGGAAACUCUGGUGGAGGCUCGUAGCGAUUCUGACGUGCAAAUCGAUCGUCAAAUUUGGGUAUAGGGGCGAAAGACUAAUCGAACCAUCUAGUAGCUGGUUCCUGC